Basidiobolus meristosporus CBS 931.73 is the source of this 118-nucleotide small nuclear RNA. It matches the Rfam family "U5 spliceosomal RNA". From Rfam's summary of the family: U5 RNA is a component of both types of known spliceosome. The precise function of this molecule is unknown, though it is known that the 5' loop is required for splice site selection and p220 binding, and that both the 3' stem-loop and the Sm site are important for Sm protein binding and cap methylation. NCBI's taxonomy places the organism in Eukaryota, Fungi, Basidiobolomycota, Basidiobolomycetes, Basidiobolales, Basidiobolaceae. The record is from Rfam.
CGCUCCAGUUUCCUCUUCAUCUAGUCGGAUAAAUCUUUCGCCUUUUACUAAAGAUUUCCGUGGAGGGGGAACAUUCAAUGGAGCUUCGCCAAUUUUUCUUCGGCCUCACAAGAGGCUA